AAUAGACUACGUCAGAUAUGGUA
Molecule: non-coding RNA, 23 nt
Filed under: Arabidopsis thaliana (thale cress)
Lineage: Eukaryota; Viridiplantae; Streptophyta; Magnoliopsida; Brassicales; Brassicaceae
Source: RNAcentral